GAUGAACGCUGGCGGCGUGCCUAAUACAUGCAAGUCGAGCGAACAGAUGAGGAGCUUGCUCCUCUGACGUUAGCGGCGGACGGGUGAGUAACACGUGGAUAACCUACCUAUAAGACUGGGAUAACUUCGGGAAACCGGAGCUAAUACCGGAUAAUAUAUUGAACCGCAUGGUUCAAUAGUGAAAGACGGUUUUGCUGUCACUUAUAGAUGGAUCCGCGCCGCAUUAGCUAGUUGGUAAGGUAACGGCUUACCAAGGCAACGAUGCGUAGCCGACCUGAGAGGGUGAUCGGCCACACUGGAACUGAGACACGGUCCAGACUCCCACGGGAGGCAGCAGUAGGGAAUCUUCCGCAAUGGGCGAAAGCCUGACGGAGCAACGCCGCGUGAGUGAUGAAGGUCUUCGGAUCGUAAAACUCUGUUAUUAGGGAAGAACAAAUGUGUAAGUAACUAUGCACGUCUUGACGGUACCUAAUCAGAAAGCCACGGCUAACUACGUG
This 497-nucleotide ribosomal RNA is filed under the name uncultured bacterium. RNAcentral's name for it is "partial 16S ribosomal RNA". It matches the Rfam family "Bacterial small subunit ribosomal RNA", at positions 28 to 507 of the family's 1533-position model. The record is from RNAcentral.